Molecule: long non-coding RNA, 2664 nt
Organism: Diorhabda sublineata
Lineage: Eukaryota; Metazoa; Arthropoda; Insecta; Coleoptera; Chrysomelidae
Exons: 2
Source: RefSeq, a predicted model, not a curated record
AACUUAACAUGUAAGAUUAGAUUACGAUAUCUGUUGUUUGAAAGAUAUGAGUCCGGUUUAGUUAUCGUUUUAUCGGGUUUUCAAUGUGGAGUUAGCUUAGCGCCAGCUUGAAGAUAAGCCUUUAUUAGUCCAAAUGUUGAUUUAAGUUUGAAAGAAGCUUUAUGGCUAUAUGCGGGGAGUUAAGCGAUGCAAACAUCAUCGCAUCCGUUUCCUCAGAUGCAGAAGAAGAUGACAGCGAGGACAAUGUGGACAGCCAGAUCGAGGAAACGGAUUCAGACCACACACUUCGUGAUGCCUGAUGUGCUGUUACCAUCUUGCGGAAAUUCUUGCAAAAGAAAAUUGUAAUGAGUGAUCGGGUAAUCCAAUCUAUUGCAAUAUUGGAUGAUGCUUUGGAAGAACUGUAGUUUUCAGGUAGAAAAACUACAAUUUCCGAUUUUUUUCAAAGCUCAGCUUAAUUUUAUUUCACACAUUCAAUAUGUAUCUGAUUUUCAAGUCAAUUGUUUUAUUGUGAAAUAAUGACCAAGGAUUGUUCAUAUUCUAAUUACGUAAUUAUUUUAUUUCUAACUGUUUUUUUAUAUAUUAUAAAAUUCUUCAUUUAAAUAUUAAAAAAAUGUUAAUUGGCGUAAAUUGUAUUGUUGUAUAUGUAUAAUAUUUUCAUAAAACAGGCACAUUUUUUCUAUAUUAUAUCGAGUCAGAAAUCAUCUCAAUAAAUCGCACUUCGCUAUAUCGAAAUCCUCGAUAAUUCGAAGUUUUUCCGUUCCCCCUGAGCUUCGACUGUAUUUCAUGAAUUAGAAUAGAAUAUGUUUGGGAUAUACCUAGAAAAUACUAAAAUUCCAGGGUAUAUUUAGGUAUACAGGGUGAGCUGGGAGGAGCACACCAAACUCUAGGAGUGUAUUAUACACGUGAAAAUAAUGUUAAAAAAAUCUUAUGUUCUUAUCCGAUUUUCAUUUGUUUUCAAGUUAUAGCAUAUUAACAAAUUAUCACAUAAAAAUUUUCUUAAUCAUAGCGUUCUUUCAAUAAAUGUUUCUUCAUUUCUUUCUUCUUUAAUAUGGGCUACAGUAUUUUCAAUUCGUCUAAUUAGUGCAUCCCGUGCCUCCACUUUUAUUUUGUAGACUCCAUUUCUCAUCCAGCCCCGUACACAAAAAUCUAGUGGUGUGAGGUCUGGAGAUCUUGCAGGCCAAUUAAUGAGACCUCCACGACCAGGAACAUCGUCUAGUAGGCCUUGUAAUUCAUUGUGUAAAAAAUUUAGGUAGUUAUCUCCUGUGAGACGAUUCUCCAAAAUGAAAGGGCCAAUUAAAUAACUGUCAACCAAACCACACCACACGUUUACAGAAAACCGAUGUUGAAAAUUGCUUUCGACUUUUCCGUCCGACCAUACAUGAUAGUUACGAGUAUCCAUCCAUCCAUCUUACCUCGCUAUCCAGUCUUACUCCACAUGCCCCUACAUAGAGAGAGAAAGAAAUGUUUUAUUGUAAAAAACUAAGAAACAAACAUACAAAUAACUGAAUAAAGACACAAAUAAAAUAAAAUAAAAUCUAAGUAUUAAGUAUAAACAUAAAAUCUACAGAGAAUAAUUAAAUUACCUUUCAAAAUGUACAUGUGAAGAUUUCUAUAUGUACCUAUAUAUUGUCAACAUUAGCACUUUCUAUUAUAAAGUAUUGAGCUGUUAACUAAUUCUUAACGUGGAGUAGGUAGAUAAAGGUCGUGAUCCGCGUUGCUAAGUGGAUAGAUGUGCAAUGAUCUUUCUAGAACUGGAAAAGCAUGCUUACGAAUUAGGCAAACGGAACAGUCAUUCUUAUGAAUCUUCUAAAGAAGUCCUAGUCCUAGAAGUAGUUUGAAGAUUUGCUCAAAUUGAGUAGUCCUAAACAUACCCCAGAAGGUAAGGGCAAAUCAGAGAUACAACUCAAUAAGGGCAUAAUAAACUGUUAUAGAGGUGUAUAAUUUUACGAUGUCAGUGGUAGUACAAAAGGCUGCAAUUUAAUUUUAUAUUAUAAAACUUUAGUUUCAGAAACGUUGAUACGCAGAAGAUUAGAAUCUUAAUACUAUUUUGAAAUUUAAAUAUUCCAUCUCAAAACACAAACAAUAACUACCGUAACUUCUAAGACUACUUAAAAUUCUUCAGAAAUGGAUGCAAAAAUGUUCGGAACAAAUACGACGGUGAUAAGAUCAAAUUACACGAAUUCAUAGACAACUGUUCCAUGGCUGUGUCUCUUUUUAAACCCCAAAAUAAACCCAUACUUUUUAAAAUAAUCUAAACUAUAUAUACCCAGGCGCGUCAAAAACACAAAGCUCGCCAAGUGGUCCCCCUUAAUUUCAAGGUCCAAGCGGCUAGGUAAACUGAAGCUCAAGACCAGCAGUUAUAGUUUUAGUGUCCAUGAUGUACUCGAUGUUAAGCAUAUUAUCUUCUAUUUCUAUUUUGAUUAUUCAAUAUUUUUUGUUGAGCAGGCAGAUUGAGGCCUAGGAAUCAUCCAAAAAAUGGUGAUAUGCUGUAUGGAGUAGGCAGAUUGAGACCCCGGAAUCGAAGUCGAGGAAACAAAAAUCAGUAACCAAAGCAGCGACGUUUACGGAAUAUGUAGCUCUCUCGGAAACAGUAAAUGAAAUAAAAUUUGUCAAGGAUUUAUUAGAUUCUGUUAAAUUAAUAAAAUCGAUUGAUGAAUACGAUAA